CGGCAUGCCUAAUACAUGCAAGUCGAACGAGACCUUCGGGUCUAGUGGCGCACGGGUGCGUAACGCGUGGGAAUCUGCCCUUGGGUUCGGAAUAACAGUUAGAAAUGACUGCUAAUACCGGAUGAUGACGUAAGUCCAAAGAUUUAUCGCCCAAGGAUGAGCCCGCGUAGGAUUAGCUAGUUGGUGAGGUAAAGGCUCACCAAGGCUACGAUCCUUAGCUGGUCUGAGAGGAUGAUCAGCCACACUGGGACUGAGACACGGCCCAGACUCCUACGGGAGGCAGCAGUAGGGAAUAUUGGACAAUGGGGGAAACCCUGAUCCAGCAAUGCCGCGUGAGCGAUGAAGGCCUUAGGGUUGUAAAGCUCUUUUACCCGAGAUGAUAAUGACAGUAUCGGGAGAAUAAGCCCCGGCUAACUCCGUGCCAGCAGCCGCGGUAAUACGGAGGGGGCUAGCGUUGUUCGGAAUUACUGGGCGUAAAGCGCACGUAGGCGGCGAUUUAAGUCAGAGGUGAAAGCCCGGGGCUCAACCCCGGAAUUGCCUUUGAGACUGGAUUGCUAGAAUCUUGGAGAGGCGAGUGGAAUUCCGAGUGUAGAGGUGAAAUUCGUAGAUAUUCGGAAGAAC
This 621-nucleotide ribosomal RNA is filed under the name uncultured yard-trimming-compost bacterium. Its description in RNAcentral is "bacterial SSU rRNA". It matches the Rfam family "Bacterial small subunit ribosomal RNA", at positions 40 to 707 of the family's 1533-position model. The record is from RNAcentral.